RNAcentral lists this long non-coding RNA (1531 nucleotides) under Mus musculus (house mouse). RNAcentral's name for it is "long non-coding RNA chr16:55939880-55941411". The stretch from base 906 to 965 matches the Rfam family "tRNA", at positions 7 to 64 of the family's 71-position model. The record is from RNAcentral. Lineage: Eukaryota; Metazoa; Chordata; Mammalia; Rodentia; Muridae.
CACACACACACCAAGUAGUGGUGUGGUGCCUGUAGUAGGCAGGAGAGCUGGCCCUGCCCCUCACCAGAUGCAGCACUUGGGAAAGUGGACCUUGCACCCUGCCUGGACUACACAGUAGAGCUGGCCCCAAUGGCAAAAGCAACGACUGGCCAGCCUCAAGCGGGUGAGAGAUGGCUCUCGGGAGACUGGACCCCUCACCUCAAGUGGGCAGCGUAGUAGAGCUGGCUCUGGUGGCACGAGUGCAGGUGAGCUUGACCUAAAGGCAUGAGGGCAGGAACAUUGACCCUGCCCACUUCAGCUUCAGAACAGGCUGGGGUCAUGCUUCAGUGUUGUCUAGUUGUCCUUUUCUCUCUAAUCCUCCCUCCCCCCACCCCCCGGAGAGUCUGUUGACUGCCUGAGCUUACUUGGUUAAUUUUGCUAAGAUCUGGAGACCUGUUUCAUGUACAUAUAUUUCUGCAGCCGAAGAUACCAAUGCUUGGGUCGUAUUUGAUGCCUACGUCAAUGUGUUCCUGAAUCCAAAACCAAAGUUUCCAGUAUCUGAGAAGUUAUUUUUUCGUAACUCAUAUUCCCACACCUUCAGGCCUUUCUCCAGCAUUUCCUCUGCCUUGGCUCCACGGACUGUGCAGUGAACAGCAAUCUUCUCAUUUCUCCGGAUGCCAAAGGACCUGACAGUGUAUCUAGCUUUGGAAAACACCAGGGUCUGGCCUGUGAGCUGCUCCAACACCAUGGCUGCCCGGGUCAGUCUGCCUCCGCUCUCCCCGACACAGAUAUUGAGGCAGAGCUGCGGAUGCGAAGUUCCGGCAUGAGGUUUUCAUUUUCCCCAUGCUCUUGCGCCAUGGUGGAGAGCAGGAAGAGUCAUAUUUUCACUUUAUGAAUAUGAUGAGUUUUCCCUUGGGGCUGGAGAGGUGGCUUAGAGGUUAAGAGCACCAGCUUUUAGUGCAGGGAUCUUGAGUUCAAGUCCCAACACCCACAGGGCAGCCAUCAAACCAUCUAUAACUAUUGUCCUAUAGGAUGCCGUGUGUGCCCUUAAACACCAAUAUACAUAAACGAAUAAACCUAAACAAACAAAAAAUGUUUCCCUGCAUGUAUGUCUGUGUGCCGUGUAAAUGCAGUGCCUACAGAGGCCAGAAGAGGGAACUGGAGUCCCUGGAAGUGGGAUUACAGAUAGUUGUGAGCCAUCAUGUAGGUGUUGGGAAUCAAACCCAGUUCCUCUGGAAGACUAGCCAGAGCUCUUAACUGUUGCGUUAUCUCUCCAGCCCCUCAAGACUUUUUAAAAAAAUUUUAUGUCUUGUUUGUUUGUUUGUUUGUUUGUUUGCCUUCAUGUAUGUAAGCACCCUAAAUAUGUGUCUGGUGCCAAUGAAGGUUAGAAGAGGGUGUCAGGUCUCCUGAAACUGGAGUUACAGCAGAUAUGACCUGCCGUGUCGGUAUUGAGAACCCAAGCCCAGUCCUCAAUAAGAGCUAGUGAUAUUAACCACUGGACCAUCUCUCUCCAUCCCUGGAGAUUUUCUUAAUAAACUCUAGCCACACUGUC